GAUGAACGCUGGCGGCGUGCCUAAUACAUGCAAGUCGAGCGAACAGAUGAGGAGCUUGCUCCUCUGACGUUAGCGGCGGACGGGUGAGUAACACGUGGAUAACCUACCUAUAAGACUGGGAUAACUUCGGGAAACCGGAGCUAAUACCGGAUAAUAUAUUGAACCGCAUGGUUCAAUAGUGAAAGACGGUUUUGCUGUCACUAAUAGAUGGAUCCGCGCCGCAUUAGCUAGUUGGUAAGGUAACGGCUUACCAAGGCAACGAUGCGUAGCCGACCUGAGAGGGUGAUCGGCCACACUGGAACUGAGACACGGUCCAGACUCCUACGGGAGGCAGCAGUAGGGAAUCUUCCGCAAUGGGCGAAAGCCUGACGGAGCAACGCCGCGUGAGUGAUGAAGGUCUUCGGAUCGUAAAACUCUGUUAUUAGGGAAGAACAAAUGUGUAAGUAACUAUGCACGUCUUGACGGUACCUAAUCAGAAAGCCACGGCUAACUACGUG
Molecule: ribosomal RNA, 497 nt
Filed under: uncultured bacterium
Lineage: Bacteria
Description: partial 16S ribosomal RNA
Rfam family: Bacterial small subunit ribosomal RNA
Source: RNAcentral